RNAcentral lists this ribosomal RNA (829 nucleotides) under Dactylonectria hordeicola. Its description in RNAcentral is "eukaryotic LSU rRNA". It matches the Rfam family "Eukaryotic large subunit ribosomal RNA", at positions 74 to 935 of the family's 3401-position model. The record is from RNAcentral. Lineage: Eukaryota; Fungi; Ascomycota; Sordariomycetes; Hypocreales; Nectriaceae.
AUUGCCCUAGUAACGGCGAGUGAAGCGGCAACAGCUCAAAUUUGAAAUCUGGCCUUCGGGUCCGAGUUGUAAUUUGUAGAGGAUGCUUUUGGUGAGGUGCCUUCCGAGUUCCCUGGAACGGGACGCCAUAGAGGGUGAGAGCCCCGUCUGGUUGGACACCGAUCCUCUGUAAAGCUCCUUCGACGAGUCGAGUAGUUUGGGAAUGCUGCUCUAAAUGGGAGGUAUAUGUCUUCUAAAGCUAAAUAUUGGCCAGAGACCGAUAGCGCACAAGUAGAGUGAUCGAAAGAUGAAAAGCACUUUGAAAAGAGAGUUAAAAAGUACGUGAAAUUGUUGAAAGGGAAGCGCUCAUGACCAGACUUGGGCUUGGUUGAUCAUCCAGGGUUCUCCCUGGUGCACUCUUCCAGUUCAGGCCAGCAUCAGUUCGCUGUGGGGGAUAAAGGCUUUGGGAAUGUGGCUCCCUCGGGAGUGUUAUAGCCCAUUGUGUAAUACCCUGUGGUGGACUGAGGUUCGCGCAUUCGCAAGGAUGCUGGCGUAAUGGUCAUCAGUGACCCGUCUUGAAACACGGACCAAGGAGUCGUCUUCGUAUGCGAGUGUUCGGGUGUUAAACCCCUACGCGUAAUGAAAGUGAACGCAGGUGAGAGCUUCGGCGCAUCAUCGACCGAUCCUGAUGUUCUCGGAUGGAUUUGAGUAAGAGCAUACGGGGCCGGACCCGAAAGAAGGUGAACUAUGCCUGUAUAGGGUGAAGCCAGAGGAAACUCUGGUGGAGGCUCGCAGCGGUUCUGACGUGCAAAUCGAUCGUCAAAUAUGGGCAUGGGGGCGAAAGACUAAU